Long non-coding RNA from Cynoglossus semilaevis (tongue sole), 1205 nucleotides. RefSeq lists it as uncharacterized. The transcript is spliced from 3 exons. The record is from RefSeq and is a predicted model, not a curated record. Lineage: Eukaryota; Metazoa; Chordata; Actinopteri; Pleuronectiformes; Cynoglossidae.
AAUCUGAUUUGAGAAUUAUUUUCUCAAAGUCAAAACUCUCCUUUCACACGAUGAAAAAUGUCUCAGAUAUCUAAUCUAUAUUUACACAUAUAUACACAUAUAUAUAUGUGUUCACUGUGUCCCCGUGAGUCUGCUCCAACAAAGACACAUCUGUAUGAAGGCAGACAAAGCACUGCCCCCCAGUGGUGCAGCAGCCAAAGAGGGGCCUUGGACUUGGUUCCACCUCAGCUGUAGAAACUGACUCCUGGCUCCUGACAAAGACACUCACAGCAGUUUUUCUUUUUUUUUUUUUUUUUUUUUCUUCUUUUUAAACAGUUUCCACCACAGUCUGAGGAAUGUUUAUCAGUGGUGAGCUCGCUGCCAUGGAAGCACAUGGUGUGGUUUGACUGCUCCGGGUGCACAGGAGGUGAACUUCAGGGAACGACCUGUGACGCUAACAGAUGCUAACAGACGCUAACAGAGGCUAACAGAGGCUAACAGACACUAACAGAGGCUAACAGAGGCUAACAGAGGCUAACAGAGGCUGGUGAAAGGUUGAACUGGCGCUGAGGAGGCAGGAACCACGUGAGCGGCUGAAGGAGUGGAGGUUGUUGACGGUGAUCCGGUUACAGGGAGACGGGAUCAAUCGGUACCGAAGGCGUGGGUGUAAAAGGGACCGCAUUCCCAGUGGGGACAGUUAAGUCCCGCACAAGGGGAAGCAAUCAGACCCAAACCUCUAAAUGAUGUGUCGUCUUCCUCCCUCCCCAUCCGGCUGGAGCCUGCGAGUGGCGGUUGGUUUGUCCCAUCUUCAUCUCCGCCGCCACACUCUGGGCUGGGGUUCCCCACUGAGAACCCACACGGCUGCGCUGGAAGUGCUGGGAUAAUGAGACGCUGUGAGGACAACAAACACGGCAUCUGCCCUCGCUCUUUAGUCACAUCGCAAGUAUGUAUGUGAAACUCCCGACCUCAGAGUUUAGACAGGGCACCGUUGAGAGGUAAAUUACAGACGUGUACGACACAGUGCAGUGGAGUAGUGUAACUCAUGUACACACGUAAAUAACAUGGAAGCAGAAGAAGUCAACGGGGACUAUAGAUAGAUCGGACUAACCUAAUAUGGUUAGGGAUGUCCCAUAAUAUGGACGAUAUUAUGGGACAUCCCUAACCAUAUGUUGAUCCGACUGAUAUCGCGAUAUUAGCAUAAUUGUGCAAUACUGUAUCUGUAAGAA